GACCCUCCUGAAUAUCUAGUCGGCUCUGUUGCAGAUGAAGAUGCGCACCGGCCUAAACUGCGGUCUGAAAUCCUACCAUCUACACCUCGUCUUCGAACCACUACAAAAAAAUAUUAUAACAAAAUAAUUAAAAAUAAAAAAAAUAAAAAAAAAUAAACAAAAAAAAACGCACCGGAACACUUCUUAAAAGAGUUCCGGUGUGGAAAAAAAU
RNAcentral lists this long non-coding RNA (211 nucleotides) under Lathyrus oleraceus (garden pea). RNAcentral's name for it is "Pisum sativum (pea) long non-coding RNA (PSAT_LNC002771)". The record is from RNAcentral. Lineage: Eukaryota; Viridiplantae; Streptophyta; Magnoliopsida; Fabales; Fabaceae.